RNAcentral lists this long non-coding RNA (1259 nucleotides) under Gossypium barbadense (sea-island cotton). RNAcentral's name for it is "long non-coding RNA (GBAR_LNC008740)". The record is from RNAcentral. Lineage: Eukaryota; Viridiplantae; Streptophyta; Magnoliopsida; Malvales; Malvaceae.
CUGGGGUUUUUGGAUUAAUGUUAGAAAGAGAAAGAGGAAACAGUGGUGAUGGUGUGAAGGGAGAAAUUAAUGAAAGUGGGGUUAAAAUGUUCUAUGCAUUGAUGACCAUUACACAGAGGGGUACUUUGGAUUAUGUAGUGAUAAAAGGCCUUUGAUAUAUCACAGUCCAAGUCAGGCUCUCUCUCUAUCUUUCUAUCUCUCUCCUUUAAGCUUUUUGCAGCUGCAGUGCUUUCAAAAGCAAAAAAAAACCUGAAAAAUGGCAGCCACACCCUGCAAAGAAAAGUACAAAAGAAAAAGAAAAAAAUUAAAAUUAGAAGAUAAGGUAAAAAAAAAGCAUCUGAUGCUUCAAAUUAUGCAUUUAACAAAACUCCAUUUAAAAAUUUUAACCACACACAACAGUUUCAAGGUUGAAAACCAUGGGAUGAGUGAGAGAUCUUACUUACUGCCUACUGCUAUAUUAUAUGUUGUUUAACUCUACCUAAAGUGUUUCAAAGUCGAUAAGCCUUUAACAGAAGUUGAAAACGGAAAAGCUACUUGAAUUGUAAUUACAUUGCAGCAGCUAAUAUAUAUAUAUAUACCUUGAAUCUGACAGUAAACCUCUUUUCAGCUUCACAAUUAAGCUAAAGAGAAAAGACAGUAAUUACUGUACAAUUUGGUGAAGAACUGAAAAAAAAAAACCCAACCCUUUCUUCUUUUUUUUUCUUCUCUCUUUUCUCUUCCUUCAGUUAUUUAAAGCUUUUUCUUUUAAGCUGACCCUAAAAAUGGCAGACACUACCAUCACCACCAUUAGUGUUUUAGCUUAAUAAAAAGACUAGUAAAUGACAAACCACCCCAUUAAUAAAUAAACUGUUCCUGAAAUUACCAACAAAGAAUAAAAACUUUCAAAAAUCAAAGACAAAACGAUAUUUCGUUGUUUUUGCUCACUUUGAAACAAUGUAAGUUGUUUACAGGUGUCGACUUCUUACACAAUAAAUAUAUCACACACAAAAAAGGGUAUGUUUUGAUUUUUAUUUUUCCCUCUUUUUCUUUUCCUUGCUCUUCACUGAUUGAAGUCAAGAUAAUAGCCCACAACUUAAAAAUCCAAAACCAGACUAACAGAUCUGCAAUUCACUGCUUCUUAUGAAGAAAGCUUCAGCUCUAAACAGAUCUGUUACCUGCAAAAAAGAGGGAAACAAAAGAGUUCUUGAGAUAUCAUGAUUAGCUUCUCAAUUAACUUUGAUCAAAGUCCUAAAAAAGCUACAACCUUUAAUACUUGUUAU